UCGGGAAUUUUGGGCAAUGGGGGAAACCCUGACCCAGCAACGCCGCGUGAAGGAUGAAGUAUUUCGGUAUGUAAACUUCGAAAGAAUAGGAAGAAUAAAUGACGGUACUAUUUAUAAGCUCCGGCUAACUACGUGCCAGCAGCCGCGGUAAUACGUAGGGAGCAAGCGUUGUUCGGAUUUACUGGGCGUAAAGGGCGCGUAGGCGGCGCGGUAAGUCACUUGUGAAAUCUCUGAGCUUAACCCAGAACGGCCAAGUGAUACUGUCGCGCUAGAGUGCAGAAGGGGCAAUCGGAAUUCUUGGUGUAGCGGUGAAAUGCGUAGAUAUCAAGAGGAACACCUGAGGUGAAGACGGGUUGCUGGGCUGACACUGACGCUGAGGCGCGAAAGCCAGGGGAGCAAACGGGAUUAGAUACCCAAGUAGUCCCUGAGCGGGCUGGCAAGGCGCAU
RNAcentral lists this ribosomal RNA (447 nucleotides) under uncultured bacterium. RNAcentral's name for it is "bacterial SSU rRNA". It matches the Rfam family "Bacterial small subunit ribosomal RNA", at positions 355 to 825 of the family's 1533-position model. The record is from RNAcentral.